RNAcentral lists this long non-coding RNA (430 nucleotides) under Homo sapiens (human). RNAcentral describes it as "non-protein coding lnc-LSM6-1:1". Lineage: Eukaryota; Metazoa; Chordata; Mammalia; Primates; Hominidae. The record is from RNAcentral.
AACGCAUAUUGCAACUUACAAGGCAGUCCUGUUCUCCUUCACAAAUGAAGCAUCCACAGCACAAUUGGUGACUUCACAAAGGUCCCAUGGCUCCUAGGUGGGAAGCCGCCAGAAGGCAGAUCUGAUUCUAAAGCUGCUGUCUGCAUGCCAGGCUAGUACAGCUCUCAAUCUGGGAUCAGGAAAGAGAGGUACCACAUGUGGUCAAGGAGCUCCCACAUCCCCAGGAGUCCAAGGGUUGCCAUUCUUCCUCCUUCUGUCUCUGUGAUGUCACCACUACAAUGUUGUCAUAUUGUGAACUGUUCUGGUCUGCUGGUGGAAAUAAAUGAAAGGAGGAGAAAUCCUGUGUGUGACAGCACAAAUGCAAAAAUAAAACCAAAAACAACAAUAAGAAAGCAGAAGUGGAAGGAAAAGAAUCUUAGCUUGAGUCAAC